Molecule: long non-coding RNA, 2165 nt
Organism: Hemiscyllium ocellatum (epaulette shark)
Lineage: Eukaryota; Metazoa; Chordata; Chondrichthyes; Orectolobiformes; Hemiscylliidae
Exons: 5
Source: RefSeq, a predicted model, not a curated record
AGAGCACAUUCAGAGAUUGAUUGAUAGAUUCUUGUUGUCUCGAAUAAUUAAGGGCUACGGGGAGAAUGCGGCUACCACUUUCUCUGGAAGUUCAUUCCACCCAGGCUCGUGUGUUAAAGUGACAGGCAGCUGGAAGCUCGGGGUCUGUUUUUGCAGCAGAACGUAGAUCAUCAGUCGCCAUUUCCGCCACCUCCACUGAGAUGCUGCCAGACACAGGUUCCCGUCCCCUCCAUUAACAGCUAUGCACCCUCCCCAGCCAGGAUAUUAAAUCAGAAUAAUUGAGGCUAGGAACUCAAAAGCACGUUUUUACAGUCAAUGGAGUCAUCGGGAUCUGAAUAUCAUUUGCAUUUGACUGUGGACGGAGAAAGGAUGAGGCUGUCACUGGCUCGGCCAGCAUUUAUUGCUGCGUUUACCCAGAGGGCAGUUAAGAGUCAACCACGUUGCUCUAGGUCUCGAGUCCCAUGCAGACCAGGCCAGGGUGCUAGACGGUGAAGAUUUGCAGACUGAAAUCUCAAACUCGUAUGCAGAUUGUGAUUAAGUUAACCAGCAUUUGAAGAACCAAGCAUGGAGAAUAACUUGCCCAAAAUUCUGCAACACUCUCCCUCACAGCAUUGUCGGUCUUUCUGCGCCAAAUGGACUGUGAAUGGUUCAAGACAGCAGCUCACUGCCAUCUUCUCAAGGGUAACUAGAGAUGGGGAAUAAAUGCUGGCUGAGCCAGUGAUGCCCAUAUCCUGGAAAUGGUUUCUAUCUCUAAUUGCUGAGAUUGGGGAGAAUGUGCAAACUCCACACAGGCUGUUGACCAAGGCUGGACUCCAACCUUGUACCUAGUGCUGUGAAGCAGCAGUGCUAUAGAGCAAUUUAAAUCAAAACAGAUAACCCCUGCUCAUUGCUGUUUGUGGAGACUCCUUGCCCAGCGACAUCCUGAGAUUCAGAAAGAGACAAUAUGCAUUCAGUCAACUCCUGCCGAGUUAAUGUGAUUAACAACAACAUCAAUACUCCAACAGCGUCAUCAGACCUCGUAACUACGCUAUCAUUUACGAUUAUUAACCCAUGGGAAGUUUGUUACCAGCUUCGAUGACAGCCAUAAUACUCUGACCACUUUGACAGAGCCAGUGCUAGGCAGUUCUAAUAGUUAUCAAUAGAUUGAAUCUAAACAGAAUGCCCCACAACAGGAAGUGCUCUGACACUCAAUGCCCGUAAUUGAAGGUCAUUUUUCUAAAACCACUCGCGUCUGGCAAUACCAUUGAAGAUAUUUUAUACAGUAGCCUUUCGGUCUCAAUUGCCAGUUCCAGUCCAUGAAGCAGCCAGUUACAUGCCAGUGAAUUGAAUUCUAACAGCAGCAUUGCCCUGGCAGGAGAGAUUGAGGAGCUUGAAGCUGUCUUCUCUGGAGGAUCUAAACAUGAAACACUUCAAAUGCAAAAAUCUUCAAGAGCUCGAUAGGGCAGAUACAGGAAGGAUGUGCUCCUAGGCUGGUGUGUCUGGAAUAAAAUAAGCACUAACUAUGGUAUCUUUACCCAGCAUCACCUUUAGCUGCAUCAAUGUUGAAGAUUUAUUUGCUGCCUAAUUCAACUCUCUCGAUCACUCCCAUUUUUCACUGCGGUAAUGUUGAUGACUGUGCAAAUGUAUAAGAUUUAAUUUAAUCCAUCCCAAAGCCUCUCUGUACCUGUGUCUCACUUGUGUUCACCGAGAUGCUCAUUCAAUCUGACCUCUUUACAAACCCUGCUCUGAUAUUUCCUUAGAGGGCUCAGAAUUAAUUAUUCACAGAAUUGUUACUGUACAAAAGGAGGCUGAUUGGCUGAUCAGCUCUCCAAAGGAUCACCUCACCGAAUGCUAUUCUUCUCCCUUUACCCCAUAAACCUUCCAAUAACACCAGCGAGUUCACAACUAAUCACAGCGAUCGGAUUUGUUUUGUUUGUUCAUGGGAUCACGGCAUCACUUGCUGGGGCAGCAUUUGUCAUCCAUUCUGACUGCCCAGGAGAUGAUUCAGAGUCAACCCCAUUAUUCAGGGUCUGGAUUCACAUGUCGGCUGGACCAAAUCAGAAUUAACACAGUUUUCCAGACCCAAUGACAUGAAGAGUUGAUUUCUGGUCUAUUAUCCUAUUUCAGAAAUAAUAAUGAAUAAUGUUUGCAGUUGAAUUAAAAGUGAAAGACCAAAAUGGGUUUUA